AGAAUCAACGCUGGCGGCGUGCCUAACACAUGCAAGUCGAACGAGAAAGUGGAGCAAUCCAUGAGUAAAGUGGCGCACGGGUGAGUAACACGUGACUAACCUACCCUUGAGUGGGGGAUAACCUAGAGAAAUCUGGGCUAAUACCGCAUAAUACCUUCGGGUCAAAGGAGCAAUUCGCUUAAGGAGGGGGUCGCGGCCGAUUAGUUAGUUGGCGGGGUAAUGGCCCACCAAGACUAUGAUCGGUAUCCGGCCUGAGAGGGCGCACGGACACACUGGAACUGAAACACGGUCCAGACUCCUACGGGAGGCAGCAGUGGGGAAUUUUGCGCAAUGGGGGAAACCCUGACGCAGCAACGCCGCGUGGAGGAUGAAGUCCCUUGGGACGUAAACUCCUUUCGAUCGGGACGAUUAUGACGGUACGGAAGAAGAAGCCCCGGCUAACUUCGCGCCAGCAGCCGC
This 459-nucleotide ribosomal RNA is filed under the name uncultured bacterium. RNAcentral describes it as "SSU rRNA". It matches the Rfam family "Bacterial small subunit ribosomal RNA", at positions 26 to 518 of the family's 1533-position model. The record is from RNAcentral.